RNAcentral lists this ribosomal RNA (497 nucleotides) under uncultured bacterium. Its description in RNAcentral is "partial 16S ribosomal RNA". It matches the Rfam family "Bacterial small subunit ribosomal RNA", at positions 28 to 507 of the family's 1533-position model. The record is from RNAcentral.
GAUGAACGCUGGCGGCGUGCCUAAUACAUGCAAGUCGAGCGAACAGACGAGGAGCUUGCUCCUCUGACGUUAGCGGCGGACGGGUGAGUAACACGUGGAUAACCUACCUAUAAGACUGGGAUAACUUCGGGAAACCGGAGCUAAUACCGGAUAAUAUAUUGAACCGCAUGGUUCAAUAGUGAAAGACGGUUUUGCUGUCACUUAUAGAUGGAUCCGCGCCGCAUUAGCUAGUUGGUAAGGUAACGGCUUACCAAGGCGACGAUGCGUAGCCGACCUGAGAGGGGGAUCGGCCACACUGGAACUGGGACACGGUCCAGACUCCUACGGGAGGCAGCAGUAGGGAAUGUUCCGCAAUGGGCGAAAGCCUGACGGAGCAACGCCGCGUGAGUGAUGACGGUCUUCGGAUCGUAAAACUCUGUUAUUAGGGAAGAACAAAUGUGUAAGUAACUAUGCACGUCUUGACGGUACCUAAUCAGAAAGCCACGGCUAACUACGUG